Molecule: non-coding RNA, 72 nt
Organism: Phrynosoma platyrhinos (Desert horned lizard)
Lineage: Eukaryota; Metazoa; Chordata; Lepidosauria; Squamata; Phrynosomatidae
Source: the annotation of a GenBank genome assembly
ACCAGUAUGGUGUAGUGGUUUGAAUGUUGGACUAGGACUCUAGAGACUUGGGUUUGAUUCCCAGAUCAGCCA